Long non-coding RNA from Thamnophis elegans (Western terrestrial garter snake), 3087 nucleotides. RefSeq lists it as uncharacterized. The record is from RefSeq and is a predicted model, not a curated record. NCBI's taxonomy places the organism in Eukaryota, Metazoa, Chordata, Lepidosauria, Squamata, Natricidae. The transcript has 4 exons.
UUUUUGAGGGGGGGAGGACGGAGGGCAGCAGGAAGUCUCCCUUCUUGAGAAAACCCUGAUAUGUCCUCACCCAGCCCAUAUUUUCUAAAAAUGCUCCUGUAGACCAUAGAAGCCUUCCUGGAAGUAACCUUUCCUGAAGACUGGGUCUCUGCUUUGCAGCCCCCCCAAGUCUGGGUCACAUUUUUACUGUCUCUAUUUACAUCCAAAUCAGGUGGCAGAGACCUUGGUGGACGCCUGUAAAACUCCAGUUGCCAAUCUCCAUCUUGAAGGCAGAGGAAUUGUAGGGUGAAUGUAGGUAACACUAAGGAGACCUCAGCUAUUCCUUGACCUCUCUUCUGACCAAUCCUUGGGGGAGGGAGCUGGGAAUAGCUAUAAAUUCAAAUGGGAUUUAAUUGACCAAUCGCAUUUCCCAUUAUUGUCACUUUUCCUCUAUUCCUUUAAAUUACAAUUUGCCCUGGCUGUCCAACACUUGUCCUAAAGGAUCAUUGAGGUUAAAGGAACUGGAAGUCAAAUACAUUUAGAAUAUUAUAUACUGUCCUGGAUAUUGUCUCUUAAAACAUACAUUCUGAUUUUUCAAAAAAAAUAUUAGUGCUAUUACUUUGUAACGAACAGUCUGACAACUGUCACUAUUUGGUGAAGGCAUGCAAUUUCCUUUAGAGAAUGGGACUGCCUGAAAAGCCUCCCAAAAGAGAAAAGAAUUCUUCAUGGGCCACAUUAAAGGCUAUCGAAGUCUUUCAUCAAUGUGAAUAACUUUGUCUUUUUCAGUGCAUUUUUUUCAGUGCUGCAGGAAGAAUAAUCUGGACUUCCUGCAAUAACAUCUAUAAAGCUUCUCUUUACCGAUCCCAGAGGGUCGUACUUGUGGGUCAGCCAGGAGUUCUGCCUCUUGUGCAUUGCAUGAAAGAGCCCCAAUGUGAAGCUUGUCCUGGAAAGAGGAGCCCUGGGGGUCUCUGGGGCCCCCUCCUCCCGCCUGCUGCAUUGGAGGAUGAAGGCAGAAAGCAGGUCAGGCUGGGAUAGAUCCUCUCCAUUCUUUUUUUUCAAAAAUAUUUUUUUUAUUAUUUUAUAUCAUACAUUUCCAUUCUACGUUGAGCAGUGUGUCUCUAGGUGUCCAAGGUGCUAACAUACAAAUGUACAAUCAUCAUCAUCAUCAUCAUCAUCAUCAUCAUCAUCAUCAUCAUCAUAUAUAAUCACAGCUGAUAAGGGAAGAGAGCUUAUGGUUUAGAGGUUAUUACAACUGCCUAACAUGUAAAAUAGCCUAAAUUCAAAUCCCAAUAAGGGUAUGGCUAGCUGAUGAGAACUGAAUAGCUUGAAAUAGAUGUAUACUAGUCUCCCUUCAUUUAUUUAUCAGCAAAAAAUUGCUGAUAAAUAGCAAUUUAUCAGUCAUAUUAUAACAUAGAUUAUUGUAUCAAUUAUAUAACCAUCAACAAAAAUUUACUCCUGUUUUUCUUUCUCAUGUAAACCACAUUUCACCUAAUUCCACUCCUCUAACCCCAAUAUCUGUCAUUUAACCAUGUAUAGAAUAGUCCCCAUGUUAUGACAUAAUCUGAAUCUUCUUUUCCUUUGAUUCUUAGGGUUACCUUUCCAUCUCUGCACAUUCUGGAAUUAUUUUUAAUUAUUAUUAUAUCGUCUGCAGGGGUUCCUGGGUUUUCCCAGCAUUGUGCAUAUGCUAUCCUGGUGGUCGUCUCCAUUCUGAAAGCCUGCAGAGACCUGGAUGACUCCUUGCAUACACACUGCACCCCCCCCCCGUGUCCUCAGGACUGUGUGGUAGACAGGAGAGAGGAGGGGGUCAUAGCCCCCCCACCCUCUGUUGGGAGAGGGCUGUUCCUUUUAACGUAGAUGAUCUCUUGGACCCUCUUUCCAACCAGGGGUCUCCUCUGUCCAGAGCGUGGACUUGGCUCUCUCCGAAGACAGCAACACGGUCCUUUCCCCAGUUCCAAGGAAAUUCCCCCCCCCCCAUUUUCCCUCUGAUUCAGGUGACCCUGAGGGGGCAGAUAAACCCCCAGGUGGCCUCAAGGCCUCUCAGAAAGCUCAUGGCUGACCUUCACAAGCCUAACCACCAAAGGGCUGCCAAGAAAUACAUCCUUCCAUUCCCCACCAUUCAGUCGGAACUGAAGAAGCCUCUUGGAGGAGAAGCCAAACGUUUUCAAGGGAAAAAAACCAAGAAAUUCCAGCUGUCUUUUGAAAAGCCCCUUUGGGAUGUGCGCUGAAGAUGCCCCAAAGAGGGAUGGGGCUUUUGAGGUCUGUUCCAUCUCUAAACAAGGAAAAGGGAUGAAGUGGGAGAGCCUUUCUUUUAGGCUGCACCUCAGGUCUUCUGCAGGAGGUGCCCUUUGCAAAGAGCAGACAUGGAUCCAAACGAGCUUCUGCGGCCAUCCAGCGACAGACCCCAGAAUGUCCUUGGGGACCCCUGGAAGGUGAUUCUGUUUGUCCUUGGGGUCUAUGUAUUCGUUGGCCUCUGCGUAUUUCUCCACCUAUGCAAAAAAAGGUGUCUGCAAGUGUCGCCAGAACAACGAAAGGAAGAUGUGGAGGCCACCAUAAUCACGGUGGAACCGUACCUACCGGGACCCAUCUACCCCCACAUCCCCAUCAUUGAUGAGCGAAGGAUGUCAGACGUUCUGCCUUGCACCACAAUGUGAUGGAUGUUAAGUGUUUGAACUAAUUUGGUUUUUUCUCAUUAUGAUGAUAUUAUUGUUAUUUAAUUCUUAGAUGGAUUCUAUUCGAGAGGCAGAAAAACCCAGCUGACUGCAGUUAGUGGGCAACUUGGAGGCUGCAAGAAGAUGAAUAGCUGCCAGGGGUGAAAUGCCAAAACAACAGGAGCCCAAUUUGGACCCCUUCGGCAUUGACAACCUCACCAUCAGUCAAUUGCCAAAGGCCGCCUUCCUUGGAACAUCUGACAUCCAGUCCGAACAUCUGGCUGACUGUCUGAAGAACCACAAUCCCCCCGUGAGGAAGGACCAUGACGUGGUUGUGGGGCUUGUGUGCUCUGAGGAAGAUGAGGGCUACAACUGAGGUUCAACCAUGCUGGACAGGACUCAUGAGGGGAAUCGGACAAAGAGUGUCUCUCCCAUAAACAAUUGGGGAAAACACACAUGA